UAAUACAGAGGGCUCAAGCGUUAAUCGGAAUCACUGGGCUUAAAGGGUGUGUAGGCGGGCUCGCAAGUGUCGAGUGAAAUCCCAGGGCUUAACCCUGGAAUGGUUUGGCAAACUGCGAGUCUUGAGAUCGGUAGGGGUUGCCGGAACUCUAGGUGGAGCGGUGAAAUGCGUAGAUAUCUAGAGGAACGCCAAAGGCGAAGGCAGGCAACUGGGCCGAUUCUGACGCUGAGGCACGAAAGGGUGGGUAGCGAACGGGAUUAGAUACCCCGGUAGUCCACCCCGUAAACGAUGUGUACUAGACCCGGGAGGUUCUGACACCAUCCGGGUCGAAGCUAAAGUGCUAAGUACACCGCCUGGGGAGUACGGUCGCAAGGCUA
This 377-nucleotide ribosomal RNA is filed under the name uncultured Planctomycetota bacterium. Its description in RNAcentral is "bacterial SSU rRNA". It matches the Rfam family "Bacterial small subunit ribosomal RNA", at positions 521 to 896 of the family's 1533-position model. Lineage: Bacteria; Pseudomonadati; Planctomycetota. The record is from RNAcentral.